RNAcentral lists this ribosomal RNA (442 nucleotides) under uncultured bacterium. RNAcentral's name for it is "partial 16S ribosomal RNA". It matches the Rfam family "Bacterial small subunit ribosomal RNA", at positions 338 to 795 of the family's 1533-position model. The record is from RNAcentral.
CCUACGGGUGGCAGCAGUGGGGAAUAUUGGGCAAUGGGCGCAAGCCUGACCCAGCAACGCCGCGUGAAGGAAGAAGGCUUUCGGGUUGUAAACUUCUUUUGACAGGGAAGAGUAGAAGACGGUACCUGUCGAAUAAGCCACGGCUAACUACGUGCCAGCAGCCGCGGUAAUACGUAGGUGGCAAGCGUUGUCCGGAUUUACUGGGUGUAAAGGGCGUGUAGCCGGGUUGACAAGUCAGAUGUGAAAUCCUGCGGCUUAACCGCAGAACUGCAUUUGAAACUGUUGAUCUUGAGUACUGGAGAGGCAGACGGAAUUCCUAGUGUAGCGGUGAAAUGCAUAGAUAUCACACAGAACACCGAUUGCGAAGGCAUCUCACGAAUCCGCGAUUGACGCUGAUGCACGAAAGCGUGGGUAUCAAACAGGAUUAGAUACCCUUGUAGUC